RNAcentral lists this ribosomal RNA (514 nucleotides) under uncultured microorganism. Its description in RNAcentral is "bacterial SSU rRNA". It matches the Rfam family "Bacterial small subunit ribosomal RNA", at positions 9 to 524 of the family's 1533-position model. The record is from RNAcentral.
GAGUUUGAUCUUGGCUCAGGAUGAACGCUAGCGGGAGGCCUAACACAUGCAAGCCGAGCGGUAUUGUUUCUUCGGAAAUGAGAGAGCGGCGUACGGGUGCGGAACACGUGUGCAACCUGCCUUUAUCUGGGGGAUAGCCUUUCGAAAGGAAGAUUAAUACUCCAUAACAUAUUUAACGGCAUCGUUUGAUAUUGAAAGCUCCGGCGGAUAGAGAUGGGCACGCGCAAGAUUAGCUAGUUGGUGAGGUAACGGCUCACCAAGGCGAUGAUCUUUAGGGGGCCUGAGAGGGUGAUCCCCACACUGGUACUGAGACACGGACCAGACUCCUACGGGAGGCAGCAGUGAGGAAUAUUGGUCAAUGGGUGCAAGCCUGAACCAGCCAUCCCGCGUGAAGGACGACUGCCCUAUGGGUUGUAACUUCUUUUGUAUAGGGAUAAACCUACCCUCGUGAGGGUAGCUGAGGUACUAUACGAAUAAGCACCGGCUAACUCCGUGCCAGCCGAGCCGCGGUAAC